AUUGAACGCUGGCGGCAGGCCUAACACAUGCAAGUCGAACGGUAACAGGAAACAGCUUGCUGUUUCGCUGACGAGUGGCGGACGGGUGAGUAAUGUCUGGGAAACUGCCUGAUGGAGGGGGAUAACUACUGGAAACGGUAGCUAAUACCGCAUAACGUCGCAAGACCAAAGAGGGGGACCUUCGGGCCUCUUGCCAUCGGAUGUGCCCAGAUGUGGAUUAGCUAGUAGGUGGGGUAACGGCUCACCUAGGCGACGAUCCCUAGCUGGUCUGAGAGGAUGACCAGCCACACUGGAACUGAGACACGGUCCAGACUCCGACGGGAGGCAGCAGUGGGGAAUAUUGCACAAUGGGCGCAAGCCUGAUGCAGCCAUGCCGCGUGUAUGAAGAAGGCCUUCGGGUUGCAAAGUACUUUCAGCGGGGAGGAAGGGAGUAAAGUUAAUACCUUUGCUCAUUGACGUUACCCGCAGAAGAAGCACCGGCUAACUCCGUGCCAGCCGCCGCCGUAA
This 507-nucleotide ribosomal RNA is filed under the name uncultured bacterium. Its description in RNAcentral is "partial 16S ribosomal RNA". It matches the Rfam family "Bacterial small subunit ribosomal RNA", at positions 30 to 523 of the family's 1533-position model. The record is from RNAcentral.